RNAcentral lists this long non-coding RNA (391 nucleotides) under Salmo salar (Atlantic salmon). RNAcentral describes it as "lncRNA (ENSSSAG00000122124.1)". Lineage: Eukaryota; Metazoa; Chordata; Actinopteri; Salmoniformes; Salmonidae. The record is from RNAcentral.
CUCAACCUUACGUGAGGAUAGAGUGCUUAACUCUCCACCCUACCCCACUACCCUCCCUAAACUUAUAAAACACAUCCCGAUUGCAUCAGACAGACACUGACAAUAACAAGGUAUUUCAAACUCAUGUGCUACAUGGCUGUGGGGUUUCUUUUCCCCCUUUUUAUAGCUGAUCUAUCUGUAUUUCCCUUUGAAGUUAAGAUAAACCAAUGUAGCAUUUGAUAUACCAACAUAGCUAGGUGUCGAUAAACCAAUGUAGCUAGGUGUCGAUAAACCAAUGUAGCUAGGUGUAGAUAAACCACCGUAGCUAAGUGUAGAUAAACCAAUGUGUAGAUAAACCAGUUUAGCUAGGUGUAGAUAAACCAAUGUAUGGCGGUGUAGAUAAACCAACAUC